RNAcentral lists this ribosomal RNA (424 nucleotides) under uncultured bacterium. RNAcentral's name for it is "partial 16S ribosomal RNA". It matches the Rfam family "Bacterial small subunit ribosomal RNA", at positions 360 to 776 of the family's 1533-position model. The record is from RNAcentral.
AAUAUUGGACAAGGGGCGAAAGCCUGAUCCACCCAUGCCGCGUGUGUUAAGAAGGCCUUCGGAGUUUAAAGCACUUUAAGUUGGGAGGAAGAGUUGUAGGCUAAUACUUUGCAUUUUUGCCGUUACCAACAGAAUAAGCACAGGCUAAUCUCGUGCCAGCAGCCGCGGUAAUACGAAGGGUGCAAGCGUUAAUCGGAAUUACUGGGCGUAAAGCGCGCGUAGGUGGUUCGUUAAGUUAGAAGUGAAAGCCCCGGGCUUAACCUGGGAAUUGCUUUCAAAACUGACGAGCUAGAGUACGGUAGAGGGUAGUGGAAUUUCCUGUGUAGCGGUGAAAUGCGUAGAUAUAGGAAGGAACAUCAGUGGCGAAGGCGACUACCUGGACUGAUACUGACACUGAGGUGCGAAAGCGUGGGGAGCAAACAGG